Molecule: ribosomal RNA, 1515 nt
Filed under: fish gut metagenome
Description: Bacterial small subunit ribosomal RNA
Rfam family: Bacterial small subunit ribosomal RNA
Source: RNAcentral
UAUGAGAGUUUGAUCCUGGCUCAGGAUGAACGCUAGCUGUGUGCCUAAUACAUGCAUGUUGAACGAAGUUUUUUAAACUUAGUAGCGAAUGGGUGAGUAACACGUAUCUAACCUACCUUUUAGAUUGGGAUAACUAUUGGAAACAGUAGCUAAUACCGAAUACGUAUUGAUAUCGCAUGAUAACUUUAUAAAAGAAGCGUUUGCUUCACUAAAAGAUGGGGAUGCGCCAUAUUAGUUAGUUGGUAGGGUAAUGGCCUACCAAGACGAUGAUAUGUAGCCGGGCUGAGAAGCUGAUCGGCCACACUGGGACUGAGAUACGGCCCAGACUCCUACGGGAGGCAGCAGUAGGGAAUUUUCCACAAUGAGCGAAAGCUUGAUGGAGCGACACAGCGUGCAGGAUGAAGGUUUUCGGAUCGUAAACUGCUGUUAUAAGGGAAGAAAAACUUGGAUAGGAAAUGAUUCAAACUUGACGGUACCUUAUUAGAAAGUGACGGCUAACUAUGUGCCAGCAGCCGCGGUAAUACAUAGGUCACAAGCGUUAUCCGGAAUUAUUGGGCGUAAAGCGUUCGUAGGCGGUUUGUUAAGUCUAGAGUUAAAGCCUGGGGCUCAACCCCAGCCCGCUCUGGAUACUGACUGACUAGAGUUACAUAGAGGUAAGCGGAAUUCUUAGUGGAGCGGUGGAAUGCGUAGAGAUUAGGAAGAACACCAAUGGCGAAGGCAGCUUACUGGAUGUAUACUGACGCUCAGGGACGAAAGCGUGGGGAGCAAACAGGAUUAGAUACCCUGGUAGUCCACGCCGUAAACGAUGAUCAUUAGCCGCUGGAAUAUUCAGUGGCGCAGCUAACGCAUUAAAUGAUCCGCCUGAGUAGUAUGCUCGCAAGAGUGAAACUUAAAGGAAUUGACGGGGACCCGCACAAGCGGUGGAGCAUGUGGUUUAAUUUGAAGAUACGCGUAGAACCUUACCCACUCUUGACAUCUUCCGCAAUACUAUGGAGACAUAGUGGAGGUUAACGGAAUGACAGAUGGUGCAUGGUUGUCGUCAGCUCGUGCCGUGAGGUGUUAGGUUAAGUCCUGCAACGAGCGCAACCCCUGUCUUUAGUUACUAACGGAUAAUGCCGAGGACUCUAAAGAGACUGACUGGGUAACCAGUAGGAAGGUGGGGAUGACGUCAAAUCAUCAUGCCUCUUACGAGUGGGGCAACACACGUGCUACAAUGGACGGUACAAAGAGAAGCAAUAUGGCGACAUGGAGCAAACCUCAAAAAACCGUUCUCAGUUCGGAUUGAAGUCUGAAACUCGACUUCAUGAAGUUGGAAUCGCUAGUAAUCGUAGAUCAGCUACGCUACGGUGAAUACGUUCUCGGGUCUUGUACACACCGCCCGUCACACCACGGGAGUUGAUAAUGCCCGAAGAUGGUUAGUUAACUUCGGAGACGACUAUCUAAGGUAGGAUCGAUGACUGGGGUGAAGUCGUAACAAGGUAUCCCUACGAGAACGUGGGGAUGGAUCACCUCCUU